UAUCUCUUCAUCUUUUCUCUUCUCUUCAUGAAAUCAUCCUUUUCGUCUCUCUUCAGUUCUUCUCUUCAUCAAAUCAUCAUCAUUACUUGUCAUCACUUCGCAACACUGUGUUCCCGCUCAUCAUCAUCAUCAGCCUCUGUUUGGCAGCCAUUUGUCCAUCACGAUCUUGAUUUUGGCUGCCGUUCAUCCGCCUUUUGCGAAUAACGUUCGCAGCUGUGACGUGUUCAUCAUCAUCAUAUCAUCAACAACCGCUGUUUGUUGCUUUACCAGACGCCGAUUGUUGAAGUUUGUGAACUAAAUCCCUGAAUCGUGGCUGUGACAUGAAUUGGAGAUAUGGAUUUGUAUUUUGUGAAUGUUAUAUCAUAGAUCUAUGGUUUAUUGCUUUGAAAUUUAAAAUCUGUAAAUUUAAAAUGGUUUAUUGCUUUGUAUUUGAUUUGGGUAGAAUCUGGAUUUGUAAAUUUGUGAAGUGAAUUUGAUUUUUUUUUUUAUUUGUAUGUGAUCCGGGUUGAAAACCCGCAAUCCGGAAACCCGGAUUAUUCCGGGUUUAACCCGUACCGGACCCGGUGUCAUAAAAACCGGG
RNAcentral lists this long non-coding RNA (580 nucleotides) under Citrus sinensis (sweet orange). RNAcentral describes it as "long non-coding RNA (CSIN_LNC001791)". The record is from RNAcentral. Lineage: Eukaryota; Viridiplantae; Streptophyta; Magnoliopsida; Sapindales; Rutaceae.